ACCUACGGGGCGCAGCAGUGAGGAAUAUUGGUCAAUGGCCGGAAGGCUGAACCAGCCAAGCCGCGUGAAGGACGAAGGUGCCAAGCAUUGUAAACUUCUUUUGUCAAGGGACAAAAUCAGGCUCGAGAGCCUGACCGAGGGUACUUGAAGAAAAAGCAUCGGCUAACUCCGUGCCAGCAGCCGCGGUAAUACGGAGGAUGCGAGCGUUAUCCGGAUUCACUGGGUGUAAAGGGAGCGUAGACGGCCAAGCAAGCCAGGGGUGAAAGCCCGGGGCCCAACCCCGGGACUGCCCUUGGAACUGCUUG
RNAcentral lists this ribosomal RNA (305 nucleotides) under uncultured bacterium. RNAcentral describes it as "bacterial SSU rRNA". It matches the Rfam family "Bacterial small subunit ribosomal RNA", at positions 337 to 639 of the family's 1533-position model. The record is from RNAcentral.